UGAGUUAGUGGCGGACGGGUGAGUAACGCGUGGAAAACCUGCCGUAUACUGGGGGAUAACACUUAGAAAUAGGUGCUAAUACCGCAUAAGCGCACAGCUUCGCGUGAAGCGGUGUGAAAAACUCUGGUGGUAUACGGUGGUUCCGCGUCUGAUUAGCUAGUUGGUGGGGUAAUGGCCUACCAAGGCAACGAUCAGUAGCCGGCCUGAGAGGGUGAACGGCCACAUUGGGACUGAGACACGGCCCAAACUCCUACGGAAGGCAGCAG
This 266-nucleotide ribosomal RNA is filed under the name uncultured bacterium. RNAcentral's name for it is "partial 16S ribosomal RNA". It matches the Rfam family "Bacterial small subunit ribosomal RNA", at positions 88 to 354 of the family's 1533-position model. The record is from RNAcentral.